GGAAAAUACCAUGGUAUUGUCAUUUCUUUUAGUGUGGAAAAAAAGAUGUAAAUAAGGGACCCUUAAUUUUGGCAAUGUCCAGAUUCCAGAAAGAGAGGAAAGAAAGUUACCUCCCAAGUGUUUAGAUAUACUGGUAUGGAAUUGGGUUCCUGUAAGUUGUGAAGAAAAGUCGAGAUAUUUUAUUAAAGCAUAGGGCUUCUCAUAUACAAAUUCUCUCUACAGUCUUUUCUGAGUUCAUUGAAUUGUUGAGGUUUCUGGUUGACUCUUCAGAAACAAGCAGCUCAUCUCCUCAAAUGGAUUCCACUGUCUUAAAGCUGUAAACAUGUAAAAGACAGCCUUGUAUUCUACACUGCAAUGCCUGUGGCAGUAAAGAAAACCAACAAAGGCCUUUUGCCAACAACCAUGCAGCUGUAUGAAUAAUUCUCAUUCUCAACUUGUCCAAACUGGCCAACAUUCUGUCUUUGCUGAGCAUGAGUAUAAAAUGCCUUUAUGUUUUUUUUUCUUCUCAUUAAAGAUAUACUUUGGGGCUACAAAUUUCACUUCCUUGAUCCAUCACAGGGAUAAAUGCUCUUUUGCCUGAAAUCCAUUUAAGCAAAGAAAUAUGAUGCCAAGGAUGUCCCUCAAAAUAGCAGUAUUCCUAAGAGGUGGAAAAGUGAGGAAUGGUAAUAAGCUACUCAUCCCUCAGGAUAUAUAGCUUCAGGGAGAAUGGAAUAAUGCACCAAUGAAGCCAAGGGUGAAUAUUGGCCAGAACCACUGUCCAGAAAAAUUGGACUUGAAGCAAAAAUGCAGUCACCCAGUGAAACACAGCUCCAAAUGCCAGGCUUCCUACUGCUCCAAUUUCUCCAGGAAGACUGAGCCUUCUUGGUAAGCCCAGCUCACCAGCCUGGAGCUCUUUAGUGGAUAUAGAUGAAACAUAUUUCCUUCCCCUAUGAGUUGAAAUUAUAAUAAUUACAGUCAUAAAAUCUCUCAGGACUAAUUAGGGCACCAUCUUGAGUUGAUUGCUACUACCUGCAGGAUAAGAAGGCUCACGUAUUUGGACUCCUAUUUAGUCUAUAAACUGAGGCUCAAUGCAUUCAGUCUUAUAUAACAAUUAGAAAUAAUAAGGAUAAAAGUGUAAAAUUGCACCCAUGCUCCUAUAGUACUUAAUUUGAUACUUAAUAUGCUGAAAACACAGCUAUUAUUGAUGGAGAUCCCUACAGGGCAGGCAGGCUGCCCUCCUUAAUGAGAUUUGAGUCUUUAUAACUACACUCUGUCCAGUUCCUUUCUACCCAUCAGAGAGGGAUCAUCUGAGUUUCAAUUACAAAAGUGCCUAAGGGUACCUUCUUUGUAAUUGCUGGUAUUUUUUUAAUACACCUGUCUCUUAUUUUCCUGAAGUCUUUAGAAACAGGUUGAGUCUGUCUAGAUGAAGCUAAAUGGUGAAAAGUCACGGACCACGAGAAUUCCACAGUCCACGAGCCAGACCACUGGGCAGUUACUUGGUCAGCCCUUAAUCCUCAUAGAAUCCAGUCUAUGCUAGAUGGAGGCACCCUAUAACUAGCUUCACAAAUGUCAGGCUUUACCCAUGACCAUAUAUGACAAUGACCUAGAGCUCAGAUGACCCAGACAUUCUCAAACUUGAGCAAGUCUCAUAAUUACUUGGAAGACUUUUAAAAACACAAAUUGCUGGCCCUACCCCCAGAGUUUCUGAUUCCAUAAGUCAAAGAAUUUGAAUUUCUAACAAUUCCCAAGUGAUGCUGAUGGAGUUGGUUCAAGGCUGACUCUUAGAAAUACGGAUUUAGGUAAUGAAAUGUUGUGCUGAUUACACUCCUCCUCUAAUAUUUUAAAGGUCACAUUUAAUCCAAUUAUCCUUCUCUUUCUUCAGACAGACUCUCCACUGCUGGUCCGACCAUAUUUACCAUAUAUCACCAGGUCAGAACUCCAUGCCAUCAUGACUGCUGGCUUUGCUACAAUUGCUGGAAGUGUCUUGGGUGCAUACAUUUCUUUUGGAGUAAGACUGUUUUGGAAUUAACUUAUGCAAAUUUCAACCUCUUCUUUCUUUGAUAUUGUUAUUUAUUUGGUUUUUCCUUCGUUUUUUCUUUUCUUUUUUCUUUCCCAUUGCCAGUGUAAAAGGAAGCCAAGAGAGUGCCUUUUUUGUAGUAUGGCAAAAGUUAGUCAGUUUUCUUUGGCAUUUGAAUAUAGUGACCCAAGGAGUUUGGGGUCUUCACUUUCAUGUUCUUGCCUCCUAAAUGUGAAUUAUUUCCAACCACAGCAAUAGAAAUCAUAUGAUGAGGUUACUUUGACUAGAAGUUUAAGUCUGUUUUUUAAAAAAAAUAAAAACUAUUACUACUACUAGUAAAGAUUUUAACAGGGGUCAGCCAACUAUGGAUGAUUGGCCAAAUCCAGAGCAUAACUUAUUUUUAUAAAUAAAGUUUUAUUAGAAACCAGGUACUCCUAUUUAUUUGUCUUUGGCAUAGUUGUGGCCUGCAAAACCACAAUUAUCUACUCUAUGACCUUUUCAAAACAGAUUUUUGGAACCUUGACCUACAGCAGUUGUUCUCAAACCUUACUGCACAUUAGAAUCACCUAUAAAUUUUCAAAGACCCUAAUUCCCAGGCCCAUAGCCCUGGUUAACUAAACAAAAUUUGUUGGGGUGAGGCCCAGCCAUCAGUAUUUUUAAAACUUCUCAGAUUUCAACUGAAAGCCAUAAGCUAGUGGCCUAUGGUGUAGGUCUGGAGAAUGCUGUGAUAGCCAAUAUUGUGCUCUGUGCAUAGGCUGAUAAGCCACACAUUGACAUAGACCUUGGCAGAGAAACCUAAUCGUACAAGCAAUACUCUGUGAUUCGGGUGACUAGGAUCUCUUGCAAGACAAGUGAGUUUCAUUCCAGAUUCUUCAUUCAAGCUGGGGACAGCCAACUAGUAGAAAGAAGGAAGAAGAAAAAAGUGAAGGAUAUAUUAGAGAUAAGCAAUAUGAAUGGAUCCCUAGAUUAUUCACUCUGCCCCUACUGUGGGAAUGCUGCCUUUAAAAAUGGGCUAGGUCAGCUAUCCCAUUCCUUGGUAUUUAUCUUAAAGAACUGAAAUCAGAAUAUUAUAUAUAUAUAUAUAUAUAUAUAUAUAUAUAUAUAUAUAUAUAUAUAUAUCACUCACAAUGGAGUUCUACUCAGCCAUAAAGAAAAAUGAAAUUGUGUAAUUUGCUGGUAAAUGUAUGAAACUGGAGAAUAUCAUGAUAAGUGAAAUAAGUCAGACUCAGAAAGUCAAGGAUUGAAUGUUUACUUUCAUAUGUGGAAGAUACAGAGAAAAAUAAAUCAAUAAAUAAGGCUCUCAUGAAAAUGAAGAGAGACCAAAGGAAUAGAGGGCAAGGGAAGUAAAGGGCAAGGGAAGGUACUAGGGAAUGAUGUCAAAUUAUGUCAUGUCCAUCUACAAAUGUACCACAAUGAAACCCACUUUAUGUAUAAUUAUAGUGCACUAAUUUAAAAAUAAUAAUAAUAGAAGGAAUAUCUGUAGAGAAGAUGGAG
Molecule: long non-coding RNA, 3490 nt
Filed under: Marmota monax (woodchuck)
Lineage: Eukaryota; Metazoa; Chordata; Mammalia; Rodentia; Sciuridae
Source: RNAcentral